Molecule: long non-coding RNA, 975 nt
Organism: Arabidopsis lyrata subsp. lyrata
Lineage: Eukaryota; Viridiplantae; Streptophyta; Magnoliopsida; Brassicales; Brassicaceae
Exons: 2
Source: RefSeq, a predicted model, not a curated record
GGAUAUGCUAGGUAAUUAUAUUUGUUCUCAAAACACAAAAUAUAAAAGUUUCUAGUACCAAGACUAAUUUUAUUGAUAAGUUUAUGUCACGAUCAACAAAAGGAUGUCACUAAAUCAACACAAUUAUAUGUUAUUCAAUAAUUUUUUCUUGUUUUGGAUAUCUAUUUUUUUUAGAGUUAUUUAAAAAUAAGGCAUUAAAACACAACUGCCUUUCGCUUUUGGGCACUUUCCAAAUGCUUUCAUGAUUUAGGCAUCGAAAGUCAGCGAAUUGACCGAAUUGCCCUCCUCUCGCUGAUGUCAUUCUGCUACACUCUCUUCCAUGCGCAAGCUUCACUUUUUGGGAGAACAGGUACUCCGACGAAUACCAAUCGAUCUCUCGCUUCCAAUAACCUUCUUGUACUUUCUACCAGCGAUCUCGGAUUUACCGAUGCUUUCGAAAAUCUCGUCUUUAUCCUCCGUAAAUCUUCUUCCUCCUUGAAAUAUCUCCUUGGUUCCUCCGGGGUUCCUCUCUUCUCCACCUCCCGUCUCCGGAUUUUGUGGGUACUAUUUAUGUUUCUCUAAACUCAUUACAUAGUCCACACGAAUUUUCAAUAUUUCAAUAUAUCUUUUUACUCAUUUGGGCUUUGUUUGUCAAAUUCAGUAAGACAAAGUUAGAAGUCUGUUUUACAGGCAAGAUUCCAUUGCUUGGCUCUCUUAACUGGUCUUCCUCAUUCGUUUCAGAUUCAAUAAUCACUGAGGAAUGGAACUCUUUGUCUAACGCUAAUUUCUAAAGAUACAAAUAAGAUAGGGAGAUGGACGUGGAUAGAUGAAGAUGAAUGGAGAGCUUCUCCCAUCAUCUCUCAAACAGUCAUUUCUUUCAACAAUAUAUUACUAAUACAUACAUAGAUCGUGGAUAAAACAAAUAUGUAGCUUUGGACAAAAACAGUCUUUUAUCGCUUUUAUUUGAUGAACAAAACAAGCUUCUUCUGUUGCUUA